GUUACCGUGAAAAAAUUAGAGUGUUCAAAGCAGGCAGAUCCAAUUUUCUGCCACCGAAUACAUUAGCAUGGGAUAAUGGAAUAGGACCCUGUCCUCCUAUUUUCAGUUUGGGUUUUGGCAGCGCGAGGACUAGGGUAAUGAUUAAUAGGGAUAGUUGGGGGCAUUAAUAUUUAAUUGUCAGAGGUGAAAUUCUUGGAUUUAUGAAAGAUUAACUUCUGCGAAAGCAUCUGCCAAGGAUGUUUUCAUUAAUCAAGAACGAAAGUUAGGGGAUCGAAGACGAUCAGAUACCGUCGUAGUCUUAACCAUAAACGAUGCCGACCAGCGAUUAGGAGACGUUGAAUACAAAACACCACCAUCGGUGCGGUCGUCCUUGGCGUCGGUCUUUCGGGGCCGGCGCGGGGACGGCUUAGCCCGGUGGCACCGGUGAAUGACUCCCUAGCACCUUUGUGAGAAAA
Molecule: ribosomal RNA, 455 nt
Filed under: Acanthamoeba sp.
Lineage: Eukaryota; Discosea; Longamoebia; Acanthamoebidae
Description: SSU rRNA
Rfam family: Eukaryotic small subunit ribosomal RNA
Source: RNAcentral